CAACCUGCCCGAAAGACCGGGACAACAGUUCGAAAGGGCUGCUAAUACCGGAUGUGCCCACACUGUCUCAUGGCGGAGUGAGUAAAUCAUUUAUGGCUUUCGGAGGGGCUUGCGGCCCAUCAGCUAGAUGGCGAGGUAACGGCUCACCAUGGCGACGACGGGUAGCUGGUCUGAGAGGAUGGCCAGCCACAUUGGGACUGAGAUACGGCCCAG
Molecule: ribosomal RNA, 213 nt
Filed under: uncultured bacterium
Lineage: Bacteria
Description: partial 16S ribosomal RNA
Rfam family: Bacterial small subunit ribosomal RNA
Source: RNAcentral